CACAGACACGUGUCUCCGCAGCUCACACCCAUCCCCCCUUCUCUGCGCCCUCUCCUGCAGAAUUGUCUCCAAAAUCGUCAGAAAAGAGAUGAUGCUGUGGCUACCCCUCGCUUUCAUGGCAGCAAUUCCCAGAGGAGUCCAUUCGCAGAUUCAGCUGGUGGAGUCUGGGGGAGGUGUUAAAACCACAGGAGAUUCUAUCCGCAUCUCCUGUAAAGCCUCCGGAUUUCCCUUUGGAAACUAUUGGAUGUUCUGGUACCGCCAGGAUCCCGGGAAAGCAGCAGAGUGGAUCUCCUACAUUAACCCCGAUAGCACUAAAGCGGACUAUGGCCAUUCAGUGAAAGGGCGAUUCACCAUCUCCAGAGACAACCCCAGCAACCUGCUCUAUUUGCAAAUGACCGGCCUGAGACCCGAGGACACGGCGGUGUAUCACUGUGUGAGAGACACAGUGACGGGCAGGGAAUCUAAGCACGUACAAAAACAUCCCCUUUGCAGUCACAGCCCCCUGCGGGGCACAGCCCAAGGGAAGAGUCAGACACACAGAGAACUGAACCAAGGAGAAAAUGUCCCCAGCGCUGCCAGCAGCGCGGGACGGACAAGACUUUUGUGGGGCUGCAGAGUCAGGUCAGGGCUGGGGUAGCAAAUAUGAGGCAGCCGCUGUCCCAGUCCCUGCCCCUAGGGGGCAGCACCCCCGUGUUCUCUGCUGCACACCCGCCCCUCCGGGCAACCAGCGUGCCACCCCUCCCACACCCUGCCCCUAGGGGGCAGCACCCGGAUCUCUCUUCACUCCUUCAAGUCGAUGAUUGCCAAGCGGCCUCUAUGGGGCGUGAGGGGUCAGCCUUUCUUUGUUGCACCCUGGGUCCCGGGAGACCUUGGUGGAUUCCGAGCUGUGGCAGGGGGCAGCCAAAAGGGGACAGGGUCAGAUGUCACUAGCUGCUGCCAGAUCUGAUGCUGCCCCUUUGGCUUCCCCUUGGUGCCCCAGCUAGGAAGGAAACCGGGGUGUCCUGG
This is a non-coding RNA of Chelonia mydas (Green sea turtle), 1005 nucleotides long. The record is from the annotation of a RefSeq genome assembly. NCBI's taxonomy places the organism in Eukaryota, Metazoa, Chordata, Testudines, Cheloniidae.